This 72-nucleotide transfer RNA is filed under the name Chelydra serpentina (North American snapping turtle). Its description in RNAcentral is "tRNA-Ala". It matches the Rfam family "tRNA". Rfam says of the family: Transfer RNA (tRNA) molecules are approximately 80 nucleotides in length. Lineage: Eukaryota; Metazoa; Chordata; Testudines; Chelydridae. The record is from RNAcentral.
GGGGAUGUAGCUCAGUGGUAGAGCGCAUGCUUUGCAUGUAUGAGGCCCUGAGUUCAAUCCCCAGCAUCUCCA